CAGUGACAAUUUUUAUUUGUAAUGAACCGUUUCUCUUUCUUACCUGUCACUGCCUGUACAAAUUACAAUAAUCUCAAUUCUUAGCCGUGAGGCAUUAUAAAAACGCCAUAAACCCAAAGAACCUUAAUCAAAAUCUUAGCAUAGCAUAACAAACACUCUACUUCUCCUCUCCCCCCACCCCCCACCCCCGAAAACACCCCCGCAACAUUUUAUUUUCUUGCCCCAGUUAAGAAUCUUGGUUUUUGAUUAGAUUAGAUUAGUGCUGUUUGAAGAGUUGUUGUUAAGCAUGAUGAGAUGGGAAAAGGUGGCUGUACAUGGAAGUGGUGGGCCUGGAAAAAGGUGGGGCCACACCUGUAACGCUGUACAAGGUGGUAGGCUUCUCUAUGUUUCUGGUGGUUAUGGCAUAGACAACAGACAUACCAACAAAGUUCAUGUCUUUGACACUGUUAAUAGAAUGUGAAGCGAGCCAGUGAUGAAGGGAACAUUGCCCACCAAGGGACAGCUACAGUUGUAUAGUUAUCCACCAAGCCAGUACAGCAUGUACCUUCAGUAAAGGAUUCACGAGUCAUUUGUUGCAAAAGCAUUCUCCUUAGAGACCUUAGCACCACAAUCUACUGCAUCACUCACCCUACCGCUUUCCAAAUUCACAGCAUGUAUUCUAGAUGACUUUGAGACGUCAUGAACCUGCUAUAGAGGUACUUAAUCAGAAAUCAUCUCAAAGUGAAAGUUCAGAAAUAACUAACUUCACUAAAGGAUUGUGGUGUUACUUUCAGAUUGGUUAUUUGUGAACUUUCACUUUGAGGUGAUUUCUUAUUAAGUGCCUCUAUAGCAGGUUCAUGAAGUCUCAAAGUCAUCUAGAAUACAUGCUGUGAAUUUGGAAAGCGGUAGGGUGAGUGAUGCAGUAGAUUGUGGUGCUAAGGUCUCUAAGGAGAAUGCUUUUGCAAUAAAUGACUCGUGAUCCUUUACUGAAGGUACAUGUUGUACUGGCCUGGGGGAUUUCUCGGUUCUAAAAGAAGUGUUAUACAAUUUUUUGAAGUCAGAAAAAUACCAUCCUAGUCCUGCGCUGUUACUUUCAGACUUCAUAUAUAGUAAAAGGCAAAACAUUACUGAUUUUACUUGUAUCUUGUUUUGACCAAUUGUGAUUUGCAUAUGAAAUUAUUCUUUCAGACGCUUAGUUUACUGAAGGAACUGUUGAUGAUUAGUUCGAAGUCUUUGACCUGUAUAAAAUCCAGAGCAAUGUUCUUUUUAUUUGAA
Long non-coding RNA from Lycium barbarum (goji berry), 1254 nucleotides. RefSeq lists it as uncharacterized. Lineage: Eukaryota; Viridiplantae; Streptophyta; Magnoliopsida; Solanales; Solanaceae. The record is from RefSeq and is a predicted model, not a curated record. The transcript has 2 exons.